AUCGUGCAUCUCGAUCAAGUGUCGGCUGUGCAAUAAGCAACUUUCCUUCGCCUGGGAAUAUAGUUCGCAGGAAGUUACAAUAAUCUUGGACCACCUGGGAUAUCAGACUAAUUUGCUUAGUGGUCUGCAAUAUUUAUCCUUUCCGCUCGCUACUUCGUGGCAUUAAAGAUCACGAUAUAGUAUAGGAGUACAAGAUGAAACAACCACAAAUUGCAGUCUUGAGUUAUACCAGCGAAGCGUUAACACUCCAAAGUUCGCGCAUGCCGACUGUCACAAUUACUCGUGCAUGAAACAAACACAUCGUCGGUUGCGUGGUUCACCAUUGAUUGCAUAGCUCCGCCGAUCUAACCAGCAGCAGCGGCAGCAGCUGCAGCUCGACCGCGAGUCCGACUCGAACACAUACUUGAAACUAUCAGCUCGACUGUCAAACUGGAAUCGAUAAUGUAGUCGGCCACAAUGGGUGUCCGCCUCUUCUGGAGCAACUCUUGCAUACGAGCGCAGAGAUGGAUCCGUAACUUUCCAGGGAGAAUCGAAGAACUCGUGCACAGGAGAGGCUUAUGCUCCGCGAGCUUAUAAGAGUGUUCCGAAGUAUGUACACUAGCGCAUGAAUUAUGGACCAGGCGACGAGGGAGACAUAUCUUCGAGUUAUGCAAAACCUGGUUCUCGAUGCAGGUUCACUUUUCGAUGACACGCUCGCACGUACUGUGUCUCGGCAUAUCUAUAAAAGUUGCCCCGACUUGCUCGGACUCGGCCGUUGGGAAAUAAAAUUACGGGUUUCUCUCUCUCUCUCUCUCUCUGCUUCGCUUAUAA
Nylanderia fulva is the source of this 810-nucleotide long non-coding RNA. RefSeq lists it as uncharacterized. The record is from RefSeq and is a predicted model, not a curated record. Lineage: Eukaryota; Metazoa; Arthropoda; Insecta; Hymenoptera; Formicidae.